AGUUGAGGUGAGGAACGUCCGAGCACCAUAGGGCAGAGCGCCGGGUAACGCCCGGCGGAGGCGACUCCAGGGAAAGUGCAACAGAAAUAUACCGCAGCUUUGGCUGUAAGGAUGGAAAGGCGAGGUAAGAGCUCACCGGAGCCAUUGGUAACUUUGGCUUCCUGUAAACCCCGUUCGGUGCAAGAUUGAUAUAGGAGCAUUUAAUAGCGGCCCGCUAAGCUUCGUGUAAUCGCUAGAACCUGCUGGCAACUUCAGGUCGAGAUAGAUGGUCAUAUAAACAGAACUCGGCGUAUGAGCCGUCUCGA
RNAcentral lists this RNase P RNA (305 nucleotides) under pig gut metagenome. RNAcentral describes it as "Bacterial RNase P class A". It matches the Rfam family "Bacterial RNase P class A". From Rfam's summary of the family: Ribonuclease P (RNase P) is a ubiquitous endoribonuclease, found in archaea, bacteria and eukarya as well as chloroplasts and mitochondria. The record is from RNAcentral.